UGGGGAAUCUUGGACAAUGGGCGCAAGCCUGAUCCAGCCAUGCCGCGUGAGUGAUGAAGGCCCUAGGGUUGUAAAACUCUUUCGUGGGGGACGAUAAUGACGGUACCCCAAGAAGAAGCUCCGGCUAACUUCGUGCCAGCAGCCGCGGUAAUACGAAGGGGGCUAGCGUUGUUCGGAUUUACUGGGCGUAAAGCGCGUGUAGGCGGGCUGGAAAGUUGGGGGUGAAAUCCCGAGGCUCAACCUCGGAACUGCCUCCAAAACUUCCAGCCUGGACUCAAGUAGAGGCAAGUGGAAUUGCGAGUGUAGAGGUGAAAUUCGUAGAUAUUCGCAGGAACACCAGUGGCGAAGGCGACUUGCUGGACUUGUAGUGACGCUGAGACGCGAAAGCGUGGGGAGCAAACAG
This 403-nucleotide ribosomal RNA is filed under the name uncultured bacterium. Its description in RNAcentral is "bacterial SSU rRNA". It matches the Rfam family "Bacterial small subunit ribosomal RNA", at positions 355 to 775 of the family's 1533-position model. The record is from RNAcentral.